AGUGGCGAACGGGUGAGUAAAACAUCGGAACGUGUCCUGGAGUGGGGGAUAGCCCGGCGAAAGCCGGAUUAAUACCGCAUACGCUCUGUGGAGGAAAGGGGGGGAUCUUCGGACCUCUCGCUCAAGGGGCGGCCGAUGGCAGAUUAGCUAGUUGGUGGGGUAAAGGCCUACCAAGGCGACGAUCUGUAGCUGGUCUGAGAGGACGACCAGCCACACUGGGACUGAGACACGGCCCAGACUCCUACGGGAGGCAGCAGUGGGGAAUUUUGGACAAUGGGCGCAAGCCUGAUCCAGCAAUGCCGCGUGUGUGAAGAAGGCCUUCGGGUUGUAAAGCACUUUUGUCCGGAAAGAAAACCUCUGCCCUAAUACGGCGGGGGGAUGACGGUACCGGAAGAAUAAGCACCGGCUAACUACGUGCCAGCAGCCGCGGUAAUACGUAGGGUGCAAGCGUUAAUCGGAAUUACUGGGCGUAAAGCGUGCGCAGGCGGUUCGUUAAGACAGAUGUGAAAUCCCCGGGCUUAACCUGGGAACUGCAUUUGU
Molecule: ribosomal RNA, 540 nt
Filed under: uncultured bacterium
Lineage: Bacteria
Description: bacterial SSU rRNA
Rfam family: Bacterial small subunit ribosomal RNA
Source: RNAcentral